This 612-nucleotide long non-coding RNA is filed under the name Solanum tuberosum (potato). Its description in RNAcentral is "long non-coding RNA (STUB_LNC003308)". Lineage: Eukaryota; Viridiplantae; Streptophyta; Magnoliopsida; Solanales; Solanaceae. The record is from RNAcentral.
CUUGGACUUUUUAGUCUUGUGCCUCUCCGUAAGGUACUGUCUGAUUCUGAUCAUCUCUGAUUGUAGUUCAAUAAAAUGUCAAGGUUUGCAUGGUUUUGAUUCCAUCUCCCUGCAAUGUUUCGUGUAAGAAAUCUUGUUAGAAAUUUAAUUUAAGAGGUGAAGAAGACAUAUAACAAAAGUUAAAAGAAAACGUUGGUCGAAUCAGGAAUCAACACCACUGCAUUGUGCUUGAACAGUUAGAGCACCCACUGGGCAGCAGUGUCCUUUCUAUUAAAUUACGUAUGCUAUUCUGCGAAAUGCUUCUUUAAUUUUGAAAGUUCUCAGCAGCUAUAUUGUAUUAGUUUAUUGAGUUCUGGGAAUAUGCACCAUUGCCUUGCUACUCCGACUUCUUGUUGUGUUGAGUGGGAUUAAAAUAUCAAUUUGAUAAAUUUUGUUUUCUCUUUUAAAUGUAAUUUCAGGUUAUGGUAAUGGGUUAUAAGCUCACAUACCCUAGUGGAACUGCAACUGCCAUGUUAAUUAAUAGCUUCCACACAAAUACCGGCGCUGAACUUGCAAGGCAAGAGAUCCAUUAUUAUCUUCAUUUCUGUAUCUAAAUUCAUAAAGAUGCCACCC